This 827-nucleotide unclassified non-coding RNA is filed under the name Hevea brasiliensis (rubber tree). Lineage: Eukaryota; Viridiplantae; Streptophyta; Magnoliopsida; Malpighiales; Euphorbiaceae. The record is from RNAcentral.
GAUGCUCUCAUGAUCAGUUUUGAUGAAAAAAGUGCCUUGCUCUAGAUAAUGUAUCUAUUUAGAGACGGCAAAGGUAAUAGCCAGCAGUUCUUUCUCAUAAACUGAAAGUGCUUGAGUUCUUGGCCCAAAAGGUUUAGAAAUAUAAGCUAUAGGAUGACCCCCCCUUGCUGUAAGACAGCUCCCAUGCCCUUGUCACUUGCAUCUGUUUCAACCCCAAAGGGUUGGGAGAAAUCUGGCAAACCCAAAACAGGGGCAGAAACCAUAGCUUCCUUAAGUUGCUCAAAGGCCUGCUGACUUGCAUUAGUCCAAACAAACCCAUCCUUCUUCAGCAAAUCAAUAAGAGGUUUGCUAAUUAGCCCAUAAUGCCUUACAAAUUUCUUGUAAUAUCCGGUAAGACCAAGAAAGCUCCUUAAUUCCUUCACAUUUUUAGGAGUAGGCCAUGAAACCAUGGAUUGAAUUUUUGCUGGAUCAGUGAAAACUCCCUCAGCAGAAAUUAUGUGGCCCAAAUAAUCAAUAGAAGCCUGCCCAAAAGAGCAUUUAGAGAGCUUAGCAUAUAGGUGCUGCUCUUGAAGCACUUUAAAGACUUCUUCCAAAUGAGCAAGAUGUUUCUCCAUAGUGUUGCUGUAGAUCAAAAUGUCAUCAAAAAAAACAAGCACAAAUCUUUUUAAAUAAGGCUAGAAGAUAUGAUUCAUUAGCGCUUGGAAAGUGGCUGGGGCAUUGGUUAAGCCAAAGGGCAUGACCUUAAACUCAAAAUGGCCAUGGUGAUUUCUAAAUGCAGUCUUAUGUACGUUAACAGGUUCCAUUCUGAUUUGAUGAUACCCUGCUCU